This is a long non-coding RNA of Acinonyx jubatus (cheetah), 793 nucleotides long. RefSeq lists it as uncharacterized. The transcript has 3 exons. The record is from RefSeq and is a predicted model, not a curated record. NCBI's taxonomy places the organism in Eukaryota, Metazoa, Chordata, Mammalia, Carnivora, Felidae.
ACAAGAAGGGGACUAACACCCGCCAAUGUUUAUCCUGCACUAGGGGGUUGGCACAUUGAUACCCGGGACGUGAAAGCAGUGUUCCUAGCAUCACAUACUCAGGAGAGGGUACAGCCAGGACCCGGAGCCUCCAGUUACGGAAGGAAAAGGUCUGAGCCACUACAGAUGAUGUGCCAACCUGAAAUAAGAAUAGGAAGCUCGAUUUCCAGAUGAUUUAGAAAGAGAACUAAUAUACACCUGGCUGCAGACACAGUGAAUAUACCUCAGGGAUGUUCUCAGGAUGGAAAAUAAAAGAUGCUGAGGUCACUGCCCUUUCUAUCUAUUUUAGAAAAAGAAAAAAAGUGUGAACUUAAUGAUGAAAUUAUUUGCAGUGCUCUGAAGGGUGGAUGGCAGAGCAGAGCAACUCUGAAGGCACUGAAAAGAGGUGGGAAGUCAGUUGGCACUUCAAAGGACCCCAGGACCUUUGCACAACCCUGGGCAGAAGAGAAUGGAAAGUUCCAAUUGUGACAGAAACAGAAAUUCCCACAUCAGUGUGAGGUGGGGGCUCAGGGUCAGAUUUAUGGCAGUGGAAAUAAAAUAAAGCAUGAUAUUUAUUGCCCCCCUACAUUUGUGCGCCCAGCUAUCCACAUUUUUUUUCCCGGAGUUGGUCAAUGUGGGCUUAAGGGAAAUGUAACUCAUUUUAAUAUUUGCUUAAACCAAAUGGAAUAUAGAAAGGAAAUAAAUCUGCUGCCAAGCCAUCAAGUUGUACAUUUUAAACCCAAAAUAAAGGGCCUGAUGGAUUUACAUUAUACAU